This 1510-nucleotide long non-coding RNA is filed under the name Mytilus galloprovincialis (Mediterranean mussel). The record is from RNAcentral. Lineage: Eukaryota; Metazoa; Mollusca; Bivalvia; Mytilida; Mytilidae.
AUCAAUGUAAUAUCUGUAUUAAUUUUAAUGCUUACUUUUUCAACACAAGCAUAUCAAAACUAGGUGACCGACUAACACUGGUCAUUCAGAUGACCCACUCGUCUCCACUAUAAUUGACUUAAUACUUUAAUUAUAUAUGUAAAUUCACACUAAAUGAACUUUUGACAAUCAACAUUCUAAUGGUCACGUUUAAGCUUUGUAAAUGUCCUACAGUAUGGUUACAUUUGCCAAACUUGACAAUGGAUAUUCGUUGUCUUUUCUAUGCUGUCACUGAUAUACAUGCACAAAGGAGUUAAUAACCAUUUUCACAAUGCUGAAUCCUUGUACUGUCUUUGUUUAAAGUACUUUCAAAUUUGACUUCAAAACCGUUAUUACUUCAUUUGAACUCUCGUAGAUAUUAGUCUUAUUGGCAAGCAUACCACAUCUUCUUUUUUUUAUAUAAACAGUAGUUCAAAUCAAGAACAAAAUGUUACGUAUAGGUCUUUUUUUUCCCACGCCACAAAAACAAUUACAUAGAAAAAUUUGUUUCUAUUUAUAUAUGCGUUUUAGGUGCAUUUCCUCCAACUUCCCUUCAUACAAAUAUGCUAUUGUUGUUUUUAAUAACAACAAUCCUUUUUUAUGUCUUGCGAUAAAUUUCAGUAACACCAUAAACUACAAAUAGAUCGGGGUUGCUGUCAUGCAUGUGCUCCGGAAGGUCUGCAGUUGGUCCUUCACAAGCAACAUCCGUUGUUCUACUACCCGAUAGUGAGAGGUACCUGUUGAGCAAAUGUAUUCAGAGAUUUUGGCUAAUAUUAUUCUUUCUUUUACUAGCUGUGAGAAGUAUUGUGUAAUGUUAAUCAAAAGGAUCAGAAACGUCAGUAAAGUCUUAUAUGGUUGAAGACCCUCCCAUAUUUGCAAAGAUAAAGAACAGCAACUACAGCUUUAUGUCAUGAAUAAAAGUGUUGACAAGUAUAUCUUUGAGACUUUUUCGUCUUUGUUCACCUAACAUGCCAUACUAGCUAUAUAUAGUAUUCCAAAAUUUUGAAGAAAUAGGGUAAUCAGAAAACAAUUCUUAACCUGACAGGACUCCUCUCAUUUAAUUCGAAUAUCAUAAUACCUUUAGCCGUAUGAAUUUUGUUCAUUGUUAAAGGCCGUACACGUAGCCUCGAGUUAGUAACAUUAUCGUCAUUUGCAGAUUUAUACCAGGAACAUAGAUAUAAUGUUCCCAUGUUAUAUCAACACUUGGCAAACUUGGCCUUGAAAAAAAACGGGUAUUGUAUUAUUGGAUUAGUCUACAUUGUGAAAUGUUGUCCGCGUCACCAUUGACAUCAAUAUUGGAAAUUUCCACACAGGAAAUGACAUUAUGACAUUAUGAACACCUUAUUAAAGUUUACACAUACACUCCUAAUGAUGUGAUAAUUUUACUUGUCAUGAUGUAUUGAGUAAGACAAUGUGUUAUAUCUUAUAGACAGGGUCUCGAGACAUGGUCUGUAUGCAUGAUAAAUCUUACGUAGAGACAUCAAAAGAAAAG